This 517-nucleotide ribosomal RNA is filed under the name Rhombodera basalis. Its description in RNAcentral is "partial 16S ribosomal RNA". It matches the Rfam family "Bacterial large subunit ribosomal RNA", at positions 1829 to 2600 of the family's 2925-position model. Lineage: Eukaryota; Metazoa; Arthropoda; Insecta; Mantodea; Mantidae. The record is from RNAcentral.
GGUUUCUUGUAUUUAUUUAAGAAAUUUGACCUGCCCACUGAAUAAAAUUUUUAAAGGGCCGCAGUAUAUUGACUGUGCAAAGGUAGCAUAAUCAUUAGUCUUUUAAUUGAAGGCUGGUAUGAAUGGUUGGAUGAGGUAAAUUCUGUUUUAUGUUAAUUUGAAUUGAAUUUAGAUUUUGAGUAAAAAGACUUAAAUGAUGUUAAGGGACGAGAAGACCCUAUAGAGUUUAAUAAAUGUAUUAAUUAAUUGAGUUAUAAGUGUAAAUUUUGAUUAUUAUGAAAUUUAUUUAAUUGGGGUGAUUAGAAGAUAAAUAUAACUCUUCUUUAUAUUUAAUAAUAUUAUUAGUUAUGUGAUCCAUAUUUGAUGAUUAAAAGAUUAAAUUACCUUAGGGAUAACAGCAUAAUUCUUUUUGAGAGUUCAUAUCGAAAAGAGGGAUUGUGACCUCGAUGUUGGAUUAAGAUUAGUUUUGGGUGCAGAUGUUCAAUAACUAGGUCUGUUCGACCUUAAAAAUCUUACA